AGAGCGGUAGGGGUGAUGUCAUCGCCGUGCGACGACAGGAAGUGAGUUCCCGGCCACUGUGCAGCUCCAGGUACCGAGCUCCUGCGUCUGACAGCGCCGCGAUCUCCGCGUCCCUCGGGUCCUGUCCGCUAUGGACAACGCCCGCGAGUCGCCCACGGACAAAGGUGGAGAGACGGGCGAGUCAGAUGAGCCGGCUGCUGCUCCCGGGGACCCGGGGACUACCGACACGGACGGAAUCCCAGAGGAAACUGAGGGAGACGGAGAAGCAGACUCGAAAGAAGCUGCCGCGGAGGAAGGCGAGCUCAAGAGUCAGGAUGUCUCAGAUUUAACAGCAGUUGAAAGGGAAGACUCAUCAUUACUUACUCCUGCAGCAAAAAAACUGAAAAUAGAUACCAAAGAAAAGAAAGAGAAGAAGCAGAAAGUAGAUGAAGAUGAGAUUCAGAAGAUGCAAAUUCUGGUUUCCUCUUUUUCUGAGGAGCAGCUGAACCGUUAUGAAAUGUAUCGCCGAUCGGCUUUCCCUAAGGCAGCUAUUAAAAGGCUGAUCCAGUCCAUCACUGGCACCUCUGUGUCUCAGAAUGUUGUUAUUGCUAUGUCUGGUAUUUCCAAGGUUUUCGUCGGGGAGGUGGUUGAAGAAGCACUGGAUGUGUGUGAGAAGUGGGGAGAAAUGCCACCGCUCCAACCCAAACAUAUGAGAGAAGCUGUUCGAAGGCUAAAGUCAAAGGGACAGAUCCCCAACUCGAAGCACAAAAAAAUCAUCUUCUUCUAGUCCAGAGUCUAGAAAGGCCUACUACUGAUGGAAGAACUGGCUCCAGACUUCCUGUUUCAUGAAAUGUUCUGCAUUGGUGCUUGUGUCUCAAUCCUCCAAGGACUCCAUGAUUUUAAUGUCUUUCUCAAAACUCUGAUAUUUGUCAUGCCUACAGGGUGUGCAGCCUCCUUCGUACUUGCCUUGAUGACUAAAUUUGGGGACCUCUUAAGGCAUUUCAGGGUAUUUUAAUUUCUUAAACAGUUAGGAACUGUACCUAUUGCAGUUAGAGAUCUUGAAUAAGGCUGAAACUUAGUAUGUAAUAAGGGAGGAAGAUUAAAUCCCAAGUCUAUCCAUUCAGCAAAGCCUCACUGUUAAAGGUUAUCCGAGUGUUUCUCUCGUGCCAUGGGGAAAAAUGCCUCAUGCAAUAACAGCUACUGCCCAAUAUUCCUUUUCGGGCAGAAGGCGAGGGGGCAACCAGGUAAAGGCCUUCGUUUCUGAAAGGAAUAGUGUCUCACACCUGAUUCUCUCUGAAACCCUUGAUGAUGACUACGAGGCGUCAGGAGGCAAGGAAACAGCUUUUACAGUUCUUAGGUAACCAGAUAUCAGUACUACAUUAUGUAGCAAAGCUCAUUUGUUUCCAGAGUUUUGUGAUUUAACUAUAACCAGUUUCGAAGUUUAGUGAGGCAAGUAUUAAAUAGGUGAGA
RNA transcript from Carlito syrichta (Philippine tarsier), 1449 nucleotides. It is a transcript of the gene named TATA-box binding protein associated factor 11, with no coding region annotated. The record is from RefSeq and is a predicted model, not a curated record. NCBI's taxonomy places the organism in Eukaryota, Metazoa, Chordata, Mammalia, Primates, Tarsiidae. The transcript is spliced from 6 exons.